Molecule: unclassified non-coding RNA, 297 nt
Filed under: fungal sp.
Lineage: Eukaryota; Fungi
Description: partial internal transcribed spacer region
Rfam family: Eukaryotic small subunit ribosomal RNA (bases 1-46)
Source: RNAcentral
AAGUCGUAACAAGGUAACCGUAGGUGAACCUGCGGUUGGAUCAUUAACAAUUAUUAUUGAGCUCUCCACCCUUCACCGGGCGGUAGGUUCUCUAACACUUGUGUGCACUGUUUAUUGUCUCUCGGCGUUUGAGGGGUUGGGUAUCCGGAGCUUGCUCUGGGUGCCCUUGGGCUUUUCACAGGGCCUCGACCGACCCCCUGAGCGCCAAUUUUAAACUUGAUUUAUAUAUACUACAAGCCUUUAAUUUUAAAUUUAUAAUUUGAAAACAACUUUUAACAACGGAUCUCUAGGCUCUCA